UGUAAAAUUAUGCCUUCACACUGCCAGGAAAGGUCCGUGGCCCCCAGACGCAUUCGAAACAGAGACGGAUCCAGCAAUUUGGCAACACCGAAUUCCAUCCAUUUAAACCUACGAUAAAUAAUCGAUUCAUAUCGGAGCACCUGGCCCCUCCAAGAAUCGAUACAUUUCCAUAGAUUUAAAUGGAGAAAAACAAUGUUGCCAAUUUGCUGGAUCCGCCAAUGAUUCGAAAAUCUAAUGGAUCGAUUCGAUGAAAAAAAGUCCAAAGAGUAAGCUACUCCGGUUGGAUACUUUAAAAACUAAUCAAAAUGGACCAACCGAAAUUUCGUGUUAUUUUGGGCUCUCUUUGCCAUGUAAAACAAAUCGACGAUGAAAUUUCUAAACCACGUAUGUCGUUUGCGGUGUUUAAAAUUCUCCGCACCUGUUUUGAUUUUUUAAGGGAGAACCAAUCAACAUAACGCCUUGAAGUUGGCUGUUUCCGGGUUGCGUUCCUGGUCAUUCCGAAUUGCAUCCCGAGCUCUAUCCAAAUUGUGUCAGGCGCAUAUAUUGGGAAGGUGGCAAUACCGCAUAUGAAAGGCGAUGUCAAUUGUCGAGCAUGUUCAGUGCAAAAUUGCGGGUGUUUUUUAAAAGAGUUCGUAUUGGCACUGAGGGGAAGGCGCGAAGUUAAGUUCACUGAGCGGGAAAAUACCUGGAUAACGGCACUAAAGAAAUUCGAGAAGAACGACCCGUGCAAGCAAUACAAAAUCUGGGACGGUUCGGCCUAUGAAACUAAAAAACAGGCUGACAUUCAUUGCAUCACAGCCAAGAACGCCUAUGCCGACCUACCCGAUCGCUACAAACGCAAUCGCUGCAAGAAUCCCCGACAGGCCGCGUGCUAUCGGAAAACUCGAAAUAAGUAUAGAUGCGGUUUCAUUGUUGACGCACAACCAGUCGGGGGAUGGAUCGGCUGUGUCACUCGGUCAUCUCCACAGGGUGUCUUCAUACGUCUGAAGACAUGCAUCCAGAACCUGGACCUCAACCCACCAACCUGGGAUGACCCCAGACUAACCUGAUGAUUCUUGGAUGGAGCCAUUGAUCCCGGAAAGACAAGAUUUGACGAACUUUUGCAAUCGAACUAGACCUGGGCUACGAUCUCAAGGGCACUUUGGAACUGGUGGUGGUCCUGCGGGCCGAUUAUUGAAAUUCAUAGACACAGCUGUAGACAAACAAGACAUAAAGAGUGUAAGUUCUUGUCUCCACGGGACGUUUUCAUGGGAUUUGUCCCAAGUUCGAAUCGCAGGAAUGAAACUUCUGGGAUUUUUCCCAGUUACCAUCUCCAUGAGAGGGGACGGGGCUCAUACAGUCCUGCGACUAGUUUUCGCGGGAAAAUGAAGUCAACCGUGAUUAAAAUAAUAAUUGCACUCAAUUAGACACAUUAUUUUAACUAAACAAACAUUAACAAUGAAGUAAUGAAUAAAACAUCGCACAGUCUGUUUUCACUUCUUCUUCCUCCCUCAGUGGGCCCCCGGGGUACAAGGACCAUACUUGAUACUGGCAAAGAUAUUGAUUAACUCAAUAUUUGUCCCCACUUCGUAAGUGGGAUUUUUCCCAGGGACAAAUCUCGUGAAACAUCCCGUGGAGACAAGACCUAAGGCGAUCCUCUUGGUUGAAAUGGGUGGUUCGUAUAAACUAAGGGGGUAAAUGAUGGACUAACUAUCUGGCCUCUCGUGGGUUGCCGUUAGUCGGCUUAUCACAUCCGCCCUUCGUCCAUUGCAACCCCACCCGCUUCCACCAAUAGGAUCCCGGAUCCCUCCAUAUCCUUUUUUUCUUCUUUGUCUAUUGCUUUGUCCAUCAAUUGAGAUGUUGCAUGUGUGAGGGAUAUGCGAUUUGACAGUUCAUUCGUAUGUAAAAGUUUGCAAGAAACACGAUGGUGCCACUGGUUUUCUCUCAAAUCAUCUCCCAAGCACAAAAAAACCUCUCAAAGUGAGGCCAAAAUGGAGGGGACAUCCCGCCCUACCCUGAGAGUCCACCUCUACAUCAAAACAAACUCUCCAUGCAAAGAUAGGGAGCACAUACAUUAACAGGAUUGCCGUGUUUUCAGUUUUGGAGUCGCCAAAUAAAGUGGCAGCCCUGUCAAUGUAUUUGCUCCCUAUCUUUGAGUUGGUCUUGAUGUAGAGGUGGACACUCAGGGUAGGGUGGGAUAUACCCUCCAUUUUGGCCUCACUUUGAGAGCUUUUUUUGAGCUUGGGAGAUGAUUUCAGAGAAAACCAGUGGCACCAUUGUGUUUCUCGCGAAUUUUUACAUAAGAAUCAACAAUCAAAUCGCAAAUCCCUCACACAUGCAACAUCUCCAUUUCAAUAAUUGUCCGCUGGUCCUGACCAAAACGAAUAGUAGCUCCUUAUAAAAAAAUGGCUCAAAAAUCACGCAAAGCCAGUGGCGUAAAAAGGGAGGGCAGGGGGAGGGUUACCCUCCCCCUAGAAUUGAAAAUAGUAUCAGCUGCCUCCCCCCCCCCCCCAGAAAUUCUGAAUGGUGGGAAAAGACCUUCGUUGAGAGUGAUUAUCUCUCUUUUAUGUAGAACCUAAAUUGGAAACACCGUGCUCAUUCACUUGGUAUUUUCUAAAAUUUUCACCACGGAGGCCUCAAAAUGCAUCCAAGAGAGUUAGAAUUUCAAAAAAAUUUCCGGAUCCAUUCUAUGCAACAAUUCGAAAGUAUUCCUUGCUGCACGGAAAAAAAAUUAGGUAGCAUUUACCAUAUUCUUCCAGGCGUCGGCCAUGUUGAGUGUUGUGUAGCAUCCUAGUGCGCAAGGGUCUGAUGGGACGACUCCUCUCACGAAAUGUUUACGUGUGCCGUAGCGACGUUUUGGAAGCGGGAAGCUUAAGAAAAUGCACAUUAAUACACAGAAUGUGAUGUCAGGAGCGUCUUUUAGAAUUUUCCGAUACGUUCAUCGUGAAUUUAAGCCAUUUUCAAUGAGGAAUUACUCUUCUUUACCCUAGCUGAAAUGUGCAACAAGUUUAUUGAUAUGUGAUUCUAGUACAGGUUCCAGCUUCUUGCAGGUCAUGGUUUGGGCUCCAGUUCGGGUUUCACAACCAGUUUCAACACAGCCCUGAGGAUUUUGGUUUUAUUGAUGUUCUUUUUCGUGUAAACAAGAUUAAAUAGCUAAAAAAUGGAUUUUGAGCGUUCACCACGUUUGUAGUGUACGCUCUCUCCGGCCGUUUUGCAGCGGGUAUGUUACUAAUGGAUCCAUUGGUAAUAGCCCACGCUGCUCCGUGGGAAUCGGCGCCACUUUUCGUGGCGGGAAGCAAUUCCUAGUUUCUCAAUUUUAUUUAUGUACCAUUUCUACCUUUUUUUUCCUAUUUUGUCCACUUUAUGUAAUGCCUGUAAGCUUGUCUUUGAGAAAUUAAUAUCUUUACGUUUUAAAACUCUGCAACGUCCUUUUAUUUA
This 3417-nucleotide long non-coding RNA is filed under the name Bemisia tabaci. RNAcentral's name for it is "lncRNA ENSASIAIIG002842". The record is from RNAcentral. Lineage: Eukaryota; Metazoa; Arthropoda; Insecta; Hemiptera; Aleyrodidae.